This 702-nucleotide ribosomal RNA is filed under the name uncultured bacterium. RNAcentral's name for it is "bacterial SSU rRNA". It matches the Rfam family "Bacterial small subunit ribosomal RNA", at positions 75 to 792 of the family's 1533-position model. The record is from RNAcentral.
GCCCUUCGGGGUACACGAGUGGCGAACGGGUGAGUAACACGUGGGUGAUCUGCCCUGCACUCUGGGACAAGCCCUGGAAACGGGGUCUAAUACCGGAUACUGAUCUACUUGGGCAUCCAAGUGGUUCGAAAGCUCCGGCGGUGCAGGAUGAGCCCGCGGCCUAUCAGCUUGUUGGUGAGGUAACGGCUCACCAAGGCGACGACGGGUAGCCGGCCUGAGAGGGCGACCGGCCACACUGGGACUGAGACACGGCCCAGACUCCUACGGGAGGCAGCAGUGGGGAAUAUUGCACAAUGGGCGAAAGCCUGAUGCAGCGACGCCGCGUGAGGGAUGACGGCCUUCGGGUUGUAAACCUCUUUCAGCAGGGAAGAAGCGAAAGUGACGGUACCUGCAGAAGAAGCGCCGGCUAACUACGUGCCAGCAGCCGCGGUAAUACGUAGGGCGCAAGCGUUGUCCGGAAUUAUUGGGCGUAAAGAGCUCGUAGGCGGCUUGUCACGUCGGUUGUGAAAGCCCGGGGCUUAACCCCGGGUCUGCAGUCGAUACGGGCAGGCUAGAGUUCGGUAGGGGAGAUCGGAAUUCCUGGUGUAGCGGUGAAAUGCGCAGAUAUCAGGAGGAACACCGGUGGCGAAGGCGGAUCUCUGGGCCGAUACUGACGCUGAGGAGCGAAAGCGUGGGGAGCGAACAGGAUUAGAUACCCUGGUA